RNAcentral lists this ribosomal RNA (253 nucleotides) under uncultured bacterium. RNAcentral describes it as "partial 16S ribosomal RNA". It matches the Rfam family "Bacterial small subunit ribosomal RNA", at positions 524 to 776 of the family's 1533-position model. The record is from RNAcentral.
UACGAAGGGGGCUAGCGUUGCUCGGAAUGACUGGGCGUAAAGGGCGCGUAGGCGGAUGGCACAGUCAGAUGUGAAAUUCCCGGGCUUAACCUGGGGGCUGCAUUUGAUACGUGUUGUCUUGAGUUCGGAAGAGGGUCGUGGAAUUCCCAGUGUAGAGGUGAAAUUCGUAGAUAUUGGGAAGAACACCGGUGGCGAAGGCGGCUCUCUGGACCGACACUGACGCUGAGGCGCGAAAGCGUGGGGAGCAAACAGG